AACGAACGCUGGCGGCAUGCCUAACACAUGCAAGUCGAACGAGACCUUCGGGUCUAGUGGCGCACGGGUGCGUAACGCGUGGGAACCUGCCCUUAGGUUCGGAAUAACUCCCCGAAAGGGGUGCUAAUACCGGAUAAUGUCUUCGGACCAAAGAUUUAUCGCCUUUGGAUGGGCCCGCGUUGGAUUAGCUAGUUGGUAGGGUAAAAGCCUACCAAGGCGACGAUCCAUAGCUGGUCUGAGAGGAUGAUCAGCCACACUGGGACUGAGACACGGCCCAGACUCCUACGGGAGGCAGCAGUGGGGAAUAUUGGACAAUGGGCGAAAGCCUGAUCCAGCAAGGCCGCGGGAGUGAUGAAGGCCUUAGGGUGGUAAAGCUCUUUUACCCGGGAUGAUAAUGACAGUACCGGGAGAAUAAGCUCCGGCGAACUCCGU
This 432-nucleotide ribosomal RNA is filed under the name uncultured bacterium. RNAcentral describes it as "partial 16S ribosomal RNA". It matches the Rfam family "Bacterial small subunit ribosomal RNA", at positions 29 to 506 of the family's 1533-position model. The record is from RNAcentral.